This 267-nucleotide non-coding RNA is filed under the name Aureliella helgolandensis. The record is from RNAcentral. Lineage: Bacteria; Pseudomonadati; Planctomycetota; Planctomycetia; Pirellulales; Pirellulaceae.
UAACUCCCGACUGAGCAGCUGUUAGCCACAGGCUCAGUAUCUAGGCUUGCACCGAGGUAUAAGACACUGUGCCGAAGUCGUCGGUUGAUGUGUAGUCAAGAAAGUUAGCGAGGAUGAAAGGUAGGGACUGGCCGUCCCGCCCUGAACGAGAUUGAGCUCCGAAAUUUGGUGACUGUUGGCUCCUGCCCAAGGUUUGUUCAUACUGGAAGGCAAUACUGACUAUCGCGUUUUGGCAAGCGAUAUUCAGAGACCCGGGGUCGAAGGCCC